Molecule: unclassified non-coding RNA, 387 nt
Filed under: soil metagenome
Description: partial contains 5.8S ribosomal RNA, internal transcribed spacer 2, and large subunit ribosomal RNA
Rfam family: 5.8S ribosomal RNA (bases 1-122)
Source: RNAcentral
GAUGAAGAACGCAGCGAAAUGCGAUAAGUAAUGUGAAUUGCAGAAUUCAGUGAAUCAUCGAAUCUUUGAACGCACCUUGCACCCUUUGGACUGCUCCAAAGGGUAUGCUCGUUUGAGUGUCAUUGUACUCUCACACUCUCUGAUCCUUUGGAUUUGGGGAGCAGUGGACUUGGGUGCUUGCUGCUUCCUUGUGGCUCACCUGAAAUGCAUCAGUGCAUCUCUCGAUUGGACAUAGUACGGCGUGAUAAGUGUCUUCGCCGGCACCUCAUAUGAGGGUGGCCGAUCGGGAGCUCUGUGCUUUCAAACCGUCUUCGGACAACGCUGACAACUUGACCUCAAAUCGAGUAGGACUACCCGCUGAACUUAAGCAUAUCAAUAAGCGGAGGA